CUCUCCAACCCAUUGUGAACUUACCAAACGUUCCCUCGGCGGGCUCAGCGCGCGGCGGCCUCCGGGCCUCCGGGCGUCCGCCGGGGAAAACCAAACCCUGAUUUAAUCGUAUUUUCUGAGGGGCGAAAGCCCGAAAACAAAAUGAAUCAAAACUUUCAACAACGGAUCUCUUGGCUCUGGCAUCGAUGAAGAACGCAGCGAAAUGCGAUAAGUAAUGUGAAUUGCAGAAUUCAGUGAAUCAUCGAAUCUUUGAACGCACAUUGCGCCCGCCGGCACUCCGGCGGGCAUGCCUGUCCGAGCGUCAUUUCAACCCUCAGGCCCACCCUUCCGGGGGAGCGGGCCUGGUGCUGGGGAUCGGCGGCCCUCGCGGCCCCCGUCCCUCAAAUUCAGUGGCGGUCGCGCCGCAGCCUCCCCUGCGUAGUAGCACAACCUCGCACCGGAGAGCGGAACGACCACGCCGUGAAACCCCCAAU
This 473-nucleotide ribosomal RNA is filed under the name Sordariomycetes sp. C3060C1EM1CC491. RNAcentral describes it as "eukaryotic LSU rRNA". The stretch from base 151 to 304 matches the Rfam family "5.8S ribosomal RNA". The record is from RNAcentral. Lineage: Eukaryota; Fungi; Ascomycota; Sordariomycetes.